This 492-nucleotide ribosomal RNA is filed under the name uncultured bacterium. Its description in RNAcentral is "partial 16S ribosomal RNA". It matches the Rfam family "Bacterial small subunit ribosomal RNA", at positions 29 to 507 of the family's 1533-position model. The record is from RNAcentral.
AGUGAACGCUGGCGGUAGGCCUAACACAUGCAAGUCGAACGGCAGCACAGUAAGAGCUUGCUCUUACGGGUGGCGAGUGGCGGACGGGUGAGGAAUACAUCGGAAUCUACUUUUUCGUGGGGGAUAACGUAGGGAAACUUACGCUAAUACCGCAUACGACCUACGGGUGAAAGCAGGGGAUCUUCGGACCUUGCGCGAUUGAAUGAGCCGAUGUCGGAUUAGCUAGUUGGCGGGGUAAAGGCCCACCAAGGCGACGAUCCGUAGCUGGUCUGAGAGGAUGACCAGCCACACUGGAACUGAGACACGGUCCAGACUCCCACGGGAGGCAGCAGUGGGGAAUAUUGGACAAUGGGCGCAAGCCUGAUCCAGCCAUACCGCGUGGGUGAAGAAGGCCUUCGGGUUGUAAAGCCCUUUUGUUGGGAAAGAAAAGCAGCAGGUUAAUACCCCGCUGUUCUGACGGUACCCAAAGAAUAAGCACCGGCUAACUUCGUG